RNAcentral lists this non-coding RNA (183 nucleotides) under Planococcus shixiaomingii. RNAcentral describes it as "6S RNA". It matches the Rfam family "6S / SsrS RNA". Rfam says of the family: E. coli 6S RNA was the first non coding RNA to be sequenced, but its function was unknown until recently. Lineage: Bacteria; Bacillati; Bacillota; Bacilli; Caryophanales; Caryophanaceae. The record is from RNAcentral.
AGAAUCCUGAUGUGUUCGUUUUCAGCAAUUCAGUUUUGACCCAACAUUUUGUCGUCGGGAGACUAGAUUUCAUCAUGGCUAACAUGCCCUCACCGGAAGUUAAAAGUGAUGGAGAGGUCACCCACCUGCUAGAAGCGGGUUCAAAGCGAUAGCAUUAAAAAAGACGGCACGAUCGGGAUUCUU